This 57-nucleotide small RNA is filed under the name Caenorhabditis elegans. RNAcentral's name for it is "Unclassified non-coding RNA Y75B8A.62". Lineage: Eukaryota; Metazoa; Nematoda; Chromadorea; Rhabditida; Rhabditidae. The record is from RNAcentral.
AAAACUGAGUCCUUUUCUUCUCCUCUUCUCUUUUUUUCUUUCUCUCAUUUCAACAUU